This 465-nucleotide ribosomal RNA is filed under the name uncultured bacterium. RNAcentral's name for it is "partial 16S ribosomal RNA". It matches the Rfam family "Bacterial small subunit ribosomal RNA", at positions 28 to 507 of the family's 1533-position model. The record is from RNAcentral.
GACGAACGCUGGCGGCGUGCUUAACACAUGCAAGUCGAACGGAAAGGCCCUGCUUGCAGGGUACUCGAGUGGCGAACGGGUGAGUAACACGUGGGUGAUCUGCCCUGCACUUCGGGAUAAGCCUGGGAAACUGGGUCUAAUACCGGAUAGGAGCCAUUUUUAGUGUGAUGGUUGGAAAGUUUUUUCGGUGUAGGAUGAGCUCGCGGCCUAUCAGCUUGUUGGUGGGGUAAUGGCCUACCAAGGCGGCGACGGGUAGCCGGCCUGAGAGGGUGGACGGCCACAUUGGGACUGAGAUACGGCCCAGACUCCUACGGGAGGCAGCAGUGGGGAAUAUUGCACAAUGGGCGCAAGCCUGAUGCAGCGACGCCGCGUGGGGGAUGACGGCCUUCGGGUUGGAAACUCCUUUCGCUAGGGACGAAGCUUUUUGUGACGGUACCUAGAUAAGAAGCACCGGCUAACUACGUA